Molecule: ribosomal RNA, 465 nt
Filed under: uncultured bacterium
Lineage: Bacteria
Description: partial 16S ribosomal RNA
Rfam family: Bacterial small subunit ribosomal RNA
Source: RNAcentral
CCUACGGGUGGCAGCAGUGGGGAAUAUUGCGCAAUGGGCGAAAGCCUGACGCAGCGACGCCGCGUGAGGGAUGAAGGUCUUCGGAUCGUAAACCUCUGUCAGCAGGGAAGAACGGUCACUGUGCUAAUCAGCAGUGAAUUGACGGUACCUGCACAGGAAGCACCGGCUAACUCCGUGCCAGCAGCCGCGGUAAUACGGAGGGUGCGAGCGUUAAUCGGAAUUACUGGGCGUAAAGCGCUCGUAGGCGGUUUGUCAAGUCAAGUGUGAAAUCCCCGCGCUCAACGUGGGAACUGCCUUGGAAACUGGCAAACUGGAGUGUGGUAGAGGAGAGUGGAAUUCCAGGUGGAGGGGUGAAAUGCGUAGAUAUCUGGAGGAACAUCAGUGGCGAAGGCGACUAUCUGGCACAUAACUGACGCUGAGGAGCGAAAGCGUGGGUAGCAAACAGGAUUAGAUACCCGAGUAGUC